CUGGCGGCAGGCCUAACACAUGCAAGUCGAACGGUAACAGGAAGCAGCUGCUGCUUCGCUGACGAGUGGCGGACGGGUGAGUAAUGUCUGGGAAACUGCCCGAUGGAGGGGGAUAACUACUGGAAACGGUAGCUAAUACCGCAUAAUGUCGCAAGACCAAAGAGGGGGACCUUCGGGCCUCUUGCCAUCGGAUGUGCCCAGAUGGGAUUAGCUUGUUGGUGAGGUAACGGCUCACCAAGGCGACGAUCCCUAGCUGGUCUGAGAGGAUGACCAGCCACACUGGAACUGAGACACGGUCCAGACUCCUACGGGAGGCAGCAGUGGGGAAUAUUGCACAAUGGGCGCAAGCCUGAUGCAGCCAAUGCCGCGUGUAUGAAGAAGGCCUUCGGGUUGUAAAGUACUUUCAGCGGGGAGGAAGGGGUUAAGGUUAAUAACCUUAGCCAUUGACGUUACCCGCAGAAGAAGCACCGGCUAACUCCGUGCCAGCCGCCGC
Molecule: ribosomal RNA, 493 nt
Filed under: uncultured bacterium
Lineage: Bacteria
Description: bacterial SSU rRNA
Rfam family: Bacterial small subunit ribosomal RNA
Source: RNAcentral